This 497-nucleotide ribosomal RNA is filed under the name uncultured bacterium. RNAcentral describes it as "partial 16S ribosomal RNA". It matches the Rfam family "Bacterial small subunit ribosomal RNA", at positions 28 to 507 of the family's 1533-position model. The record is from RNAcentral.
GAUGAACGCUGGCGGCGUGCCUAAUACAUGCAAGUCGAGCGAACGGACGAGAAGCUUGCUUCUCUGAUGUUAGCGGCGGACGGGUGAGUAACACGUGGAUAACCUACCUAUAAGACUGGGAUAACUUCGGGAAACCGUAGCUAAUACCGGAUAAUAUUUUGAACCUCAUGGUUCAAAAGUGAAAGACGGUCUUGCUGUCCCUUAUAGAUGGAUCCGCGCUGCAUUAGCUAGUUGGUAAGGUAACGGCUUACCAAGGCAACGAUGCAUAGCCGGCCUGAGAGGGUGAUCGGCCACACUGGAACUGAGACACGGUCCAGACUCCUACGGGAGGCAGCAGUAGGGAAUCUUCCGCAAUGGGCGAAAGCCUGACGGAGCAACGCCGCGUGAGUGAUGAAGGUCUUCGGAUCGUAAAACUCUGUUAUUAGGGAAGAACAUAUGUGUAAGUAACUGUGCACAUCUUGACGGUACCUAAUCAGAAAGCCACGGCUAACUACGUG